This 822-nucleotide long non-coding RNA is filed under the name Phoenix dactylifera (date palm). RNAcentral describes it as "long non-coding RNA (PDAC_LNC000978)". Lineage: Eukaryota; Viridiplantae; Streptophyta; Magnoliopsida; Arecales; Arecaceae. The record is from RNAcentral.
GCAGUUUGUGGGUAUCUGAGCCGGAAACCCUCACGAGACAAAACUCGUCCACUAGGGCCACCUAGGGGUUUAAAGUCUUAUUGCAUACGGUAAAUGCAAUUGCGAUUCCUGCGAAAGUGAGUUAGUUUUUAUUUUGCUUGAGGACUAGCAAAAUGUAGGUUGGAGGGUGUGAUAAGUGCUAAAUAAUGCAUAAAUUAAUAUCUUAUUCAUAGCACUUAUCAUUAUUUUAAUAUAUAUAUUUUGUAAAAUUAACCAUAAAAGAUGUGUUACCCUCAUCAUUGCAUUUUAAUAAAUUAAUUUAAGUUUGAUUUAAUUAUUUAUUAAUUGAGCCUAAUGUAUGCAGGUCGAGUCAAGUUCAAUAAGAUAAAGUCGAAACCUACACUACAUCAUUUUAUAUCCUCCGGAGUCGACUCCAAGAACUUUCCUCCAAAAUCCAGUGCUUCCCAUUAAUUUCCAUCUGCACCUAAUUCUCUUUCCACACUUUUCAAUUAUUUGUUUCUCAGAUCUCAAAGCAUACCAUCUAGUUGCACGGAUCUCAAAGCCUUUAUCUUCUUCAAAUCUCAGCCGGAUAAGCAUCCUAGUUUCCUCCCUGCCUCAAGACAGAACUCCUCUUCCGAUGAGAUCAACACCCAGCCGACCACACCCAUUCAUAUCUCAGCCAUGUUCUUCCACGUCAUCCCUUUUCUCCCCUGCAUCCCGACUCAUCUCCCCAACCUCCUCCGCUAGAUCUCAGCCAAGAUAAAGCUAAAUCCCGAGCCUCCCUGUCGUCUGCCAUGAUCCUUUUCUUCGCAUUUGAUCCCAGCGGCAUCAUCCAUUCCUCCC